This 98-nucleotide ribosomal RNA is filed under the name uncultured bacterium. RNAcentral describes it as "partial 16S ribosomal RNA". The record is from RNAcentral.
CGGGUUGUAAAGCUCUGUCGAGCGAGACGAAAAACUAGUCGGUGAAUAGCCGAUUAGUCUGACGGUACCGCUAAAGGAAGCACCGGCUAACUCCGUGC